This is a non-coding RNA of Ceratobasidium sp. UAMH 11750, 86 nucleotides long. The record is from the annotation of a GenBank genome assembly. Lineage: Eukaryota; Fungi; Basidiomycota; Agaricomycetes; Cantharellales; Ceratobasidiaceae.
UCUUCCGUGGCGCAAUCGGUGGCGCGUCUGACUGUUACCUAAUUAACGACAUCAGAAGGUUGCUGGUUCGAGCCCAGCCGGGAGAG